RNAcentral lists this ribosomal RNA (253 nucleotides) under uncultured bacterium. Its description in RNAcentral is "partial 16S ribosomal RNA". It matches the Rfam family "Bacterial small subunit ribosomal RNA", at positions 524 to 776 of the family's 1533-position model. The record is from RNAcentral.
UACGGGGGGGGCAAGCGUUGUUCGGAAUUACUGGGCGUAAAGGGUUCGUAGGUGGCCUGCUAAGUCAGACGUGAAAUCCCUCAGCUCAACUGGGGAACUGCGUCUGAGACUGGUGGGCUUGAGUGCAGGAGAGGAGCGCGGAAUUCCAGGUGUAGCGGUGAAAUGCGUAGAUAUCUGGAGGAACACCGGUGGCGAAGGCGGCGUUCUGGACUGUUACUGACACUCAUCCGCGAAAGCGUGGGGAGCAAACAGG